This is a small nucleolar RNA of Hevea brasiliensis (rubber tree), 107 nucleotides long. NCBI's taxonomy places the organism in Eukaryota, Viridiplantae, Streptophyta, Magnoliopsida, Malpighiales, Euphorbiaceae. The record is from RefSeq and is a predicted model, not a curated record.
AUCCCAUGGUGUGGACAUCUCCUUUGAAGUUCCUUGUAUCUCUCCCAUGCUUCAUACAAGCUCUCAUCAUCUCUAGGUCAGAAAGAAGUUAAUUCAUUCCUUAAUUU